UACGGGGGGAGCAAGCGUUGUUCGGAUUUACUGGGCGUAAGGGCGCGUAGGCGGCCACCGCAAGGCGACUGGGAAAUCUCCGGGCUUAACCCGGAAAGGUCAGCCGAUACUGCGGGGCUAGAGUGCAGAAGGGGCAACUGGAAUUCUCGGUGUAGCGGUGAAAUGCGUAGAUAUCGAGAGGAACACCUGCGGCGAAGGCGGGUUGCUGGGCUGACACUGACGCUGAUGCGCGAAAGCUAGGGGAGCGAACGGG
RNAcentral lists this ribosomal RNA (253 nucleotides) under uncultured bacterium. Its description in RNAcentral is "partial 16S ribosomal RNA". It matches the Rfam family "Bacterial small subunit ribosomal RNA", at positions 524 to 776 of the family's 1533-position model. The record is from RNAcentral.